RNAcentral lists this ribosomal RNA (576 nucleotides) under uncultured eukaryote. RNAcentral describes it as "bacterial SSU rRNA". It matches the Rfam family "Eukaryotic small subunit ribosomal RNA", at positions 203 to 788 of the family's 1831-position model. The record is from RNAcentral.
UAUUUAUUAGAUAACAGACCAAUAUUCCUCGUGUCUAUUGUGGUGACUCAUAGUAACUGAUCGGAUCGCAUGGCCUUGUGCCGCGACUAACCAUUCAAGUUUCUGACCCAUCAGCUUUCGAUGGUAGUGUAUUGGACUACCAUGGCUUUCACGGGUAACGGAGGAUUAGGGUUCGAUUCCGGAGAGGGAGCCUGAGAAACGGCUACCACAUCUAAGGAAGGCAGCAGGCGCGUAAAUUACCCAAUCCUGACUCAGGGAGGUAGUGACAAGAAAUAACGGGUCGGGGCAUUCGCCUCGGGAUUGCAAUGAAUCGAAUUUACACCCCUUAACGAGGAACAAUUGGAGGGCAAGUCUGGUGCCAGCAGCCGCGGUAAUUCCAGCUCCAAUAGCGUAUAUUAAAGUUGAUGCCGUUAAAAAGCUCGUAGUUGAACCUUGGACCUGGCUGAUCUGUCCUCCUAAUCGAGCGCACGGAUUCGGUCGGGUCUUUCCUUCUGGGGAGCCCUAUGCCCUUCACUGGGUGUAGUGGGGAACCAGGACUUUUACCUUGAAAAAAUUAGAGUGUUCAAAGCAGGCCUU